UACGGAGGGUGCAAGCGUUAUCCGGAAUCACUGGGCGUAAAGGGCGCGUAGGUGGUCUGUUAAGUCUGGCGUUAAAGCCUGGGGCUCAACACCAGAUCAGCGUUGGAUACUGGCAGGCUAGACGGUUGGAGAGGCGAGUGGAAUUACCAGUGUAGCGGUGGAAUGCGUAGAUACUGGUAGGAACACCCAUUGCGAAGGCAGCUCGCUGGACAACACGUGACACUGAGGCGCGAAAGUGUGGGGAGCAAACCGGAUUAGAUACCCG
RNAcentral lists this ribosomal RNA (265 nucleotides) under uncultured prokaryote. RNAcentral describes it as "partial 16S ribosomal RNA". It matches the Rfam family "Bacterial small subunit ribosomal RNA", at positions 524 to 788 of the family's 1533-position model. The record is from RNAcentral.